GGGGAUUUAGCUCAGUGGAAGAGCGCUUGCCUAGCGAGCACAAGGCCCUGGGUUCGGUCCCCAGCUCCG
RNAcentral lists this transfer RNA (69 nucleotides) under Rattus norvegicus (Norway rat). It matches the Rfam family "tRNA". Rfam says of the family: Transfer RNA (tRNA) molecules are approximately 80 nucleotides in length. Their secondary structure includes four short double-helical elements and three loops (D, anti-codon, and T loops). Further hydrogen bonds mediate the characteristic L-shaped molecular structure. tRNAs have two regions of fundamental functional importance: the anti-codon, which is responsible for specific mRNA codon recognition, and the 3' end, to which the tRNAs corresponding amino acid is attached (by aminoacyl-tRNA synthetases). tRNAs cope with the degeneracy of the genetic code in two manners: having more than one tRNA (with a specific anti-codon) for a particular amino acid; and 'wobble' base-pairing, i.e. permitting non-standard base-pairing at the 3rd anti-codon position. Lineage: Eukaryota; Metazoa; Chordata; Mammalia; Rodentia; Muridae. The record is from Rfam by way of RNAcentral.